GAUGAACGCUGGCGGCGUGCUUAACACAUGCAAGUCGAACGGAAAGGCUCCUGCUUGCAGGGGUACUCGAGUGGCGAACGGGUGAGUAACACGUGGGUGAUCUGCCCUGCACUUCGGGAUAAGCCUGGGAAACUGGGUCUAAUACCGGAUAGGACGAUGGCUUGGAUGCCAUUGUGGAAAGUUUUUUCGGUGUGGGAUGAGCUCGCGGCCUAUCAGCUUGUUGGUGGGGUAAUGGCCCACCAAGGCGUCGACGGGUAGCCGGCCUGAGAGGGUGUACGGCCACAUUGGGACUGAGAUACGGCCCAGACUCCUACGGGAGGCAGCAGUGGGGAAUAUUGCACAAUGGGCGCAAGCCUGAUGCAGCGACGCCGCGUGGGGGAUGACGGCCUUCGGGUUGUAAACUCCUUUCGCUAGGGACGAAGCGCAAGUGACGGUACCUGGAGAAGAAGCACCGGCUAACUACGUG
Molecule: ribosomal RNA, 466 nt
Filed under: uncultured bacterium
Lineage: Bacteria
Description: partial 16S ribosomal RNA
Rfam family: Bacterial small subunit ribosomal RNA
Source: RNAcentral